RNAcentral lists this ribosomal RNA (1249 nucleotides) under uncultured organism. RNAcentral describes it as "bacterial SSU rRNA". It matches the Rfam family "Bacterial small subunit ribosomal RNA", at positions 28 to 1247 of the family's 1533-position model. The record is from RNAcentral.
AAUGAACGCUGGCGGCGUGCUUACACAUGCAAGUCGAACGAGAAAUCUUUAGCUUGCUGGAGAAAGUAAAGUGGCGCACGGGUGAGUAACGCGUGGGUAAUCUGCCUCCGAAUCGGGGAUAACAUUGCGAAAGCGAUGCUAAUACCGGAUAAAAUCUGGUUGGCUUCGGUGAACCGGAUCAAAGGUGGUCUCUUUUAAAAAGCUACCGUUUGGAGAUGAGCUCGCGUACCAUUAGCUUGUUGGUGGGGUAAAGGCUCACCAAGGCGACGAUGGUUAGCUGGUCUGAGAGGAUGAUCAGCCACACCGGAACUGGAACACGGUCCGGACUCCUACGGGAGGCAGCAGUGAGGAAUUUUGCGCAAUGGGGGAAACCCUGACGCAGCAACGCCGCGUGAGUGAUGAAGGCUUUCGGGUCGUAAAGCUCUGUCAGGUGGGAAGAACCCACCAGGUGUAAACAUCACCUGGUGCUGACGGUACCACCGAAGGAAGCACCGGCUAACUCCGUGCCAGCAGCCGCGGUAAUACGGGGGGUGCGAGCGUUAUUCGGAAUCAUUGGGCGUAAAGGGCGCGCAGGCGGUUUUGUAAGUCAGAUGUGAAAUCCCGGGGCUUAACCCCGGAAGUGCAUAUGAAACUAUGAGACUUGAGUAUGGGAGAGGGAAGCGGAAUUCCUGGUGUAGCGGUGAAAUGCGUAGAUAUCAGGAGGAACACCGGUGGCGAAGGCGGCUUCCUGGACCAAUACUGACGCUGAGGCGCGAAGGCGUGGGGAGCGAACAGGAUUAGAUACCCUGGUAGUCCACGCAGUAAACGUUGAUCACUAGGUGUAGCGGGUAUUGACCCCUGCUGUGCCGGAGUUAACGCAUUAAGUGAUCCGCCUGGGGAGUACGAUCGCAAGAUUAAGACUCAAAGGAAUUGACGGGGGCCCGCACAAGCGGUGGAGCAUGUGGUUUAAUUCGAAGCAACGCGCAGAACCUUACCUACCCUUGACAUGCCCGGUUUGGUUGCCAGAGAUGGCUUCCUUGAUUCGUUCGCCGGUGCACAGGUGCUGCAUGGCUGUCGUCAGCUCGUGUCGUGAGAUGUUGGGUUAAGUCCCGCAACGAGCGCAACCCUCAUCCUUAGUUGCCAUCAGGUUUGGCUGGGCACUCUAAGGAAACUGCCGGUGGCAAGCCGGAGGAAGGUGGGGAUGACGUCAAGUCCUCAUGGCCCUUACGGGUAGGGCUACACACGUGCUACAAUGGCAGUGACAAUGGGA